AGAAGAGAGAAAGCAGAUUGUCCUGAGCCCCAAGUGUCUGUGAUUCUCUUAGCUAAGUAAGGAAUCAGUGCCAGAGACAGAGGUUGCUGGAGCUGAGAGGAGACGUAGUCAAGAAGAUUGGAGAAGGCUCUGCGGAGAAGGUGAACUUGAGCUAAGACUUGAAGGGAGGGCAGGCUUGAAGGGAUGAAACAGCCUCCUCUGUGCUAAAGAGAGGAGUGACAGGGCCAUCAUCAGGCAAAGGGGACAUUACCAGGCAAAGGGACACCAUUGGUCAAAGGCGAUGGUGGAGACAAGACAUUCUGGAAGAGCCCGGAUCAGAGAGAUUUGGGGCCAGGAGCCGGCAUCAGGGGACCGGCUCCCUAAGGAACCAUGGCACCACUGGCUCUCAGCUGGAAAUAAGCAGCAGAUGAAGCACAUGCAUCCUGAGUUUUGGCUCUGGUGAUGGUGGUGGAGCUGUUAAUUCUUGGAGUCCAAAUUCCUGCACCACCUCUGAGUUCCGAGGGGGUGGGGAAGAGCAAGUGAUGGCUGGACAGCAAAGAGGAGUGGAGGCCGGGAGAAUGGGCAGCUAGCCCAGCGCUCUCCAAUAUCUGGGAGUCGACCGCACUCCUGCACUCCCUGUCAUCCCUGCUAAUGGUGAGGAACUGAGCAAAAGAGCCUCCAGAGUGACAGGUAUUACCAUUGCUCCAAUCUUACAGAUGAGGAAACUCAGGCAUGGAGAGGUUGAGCGACUUGCCCAAAUUCAUGCAGUUAGGACCUGGCAGAGCUGCGCUUUGAACCCAGGCUGCCUGGCUCUAGAGUGUGUGCACGAAACUUCACUGCCAUAUGAACAAAACUGCAGGACAUAUGUUCUCAAAGCAAAUAAGCCUCCCAGAGAGGCUUUUCCUGAUGGCUUCAAGGACCUGCCCUAGCCUGGUCUGACUUCCCAGAGGGGAUCCAGUCCCAACAUUGGCCCUAUCUUUAGACCACAUUUCCAUCCCAUUCUCAGUGAAAACCCUGAGUCAUGACAGAAGACAACCAAUGCUGGAGAGAGGAGGUUUCAGGAGGACAACAGUCAGAAUACCCCCAAGACGUCCUUCUUUCCCUAAGGUCUCAAAAUCCUUGCCUCAAGAAGUUAUUCCUGAAGUCUAGCUUGAAUUCCUCCAGAUAGAGUUUAAACCAGACAAACAGCCUACGAACAUGUUACAAUAUUCAAAAACUUCUAAUUUAGUCACCAUCACUUGCAAAUAGGGAUAUCUCAUGGAAAUACGAUUUCUGAUUUAUCUUGAAAAGUCAAGAUGAUCUGGCCACAAUGGGCCUGCACUCCUGUGAGGUGGUAUCAUUGGCUUGGGGGUCUCACCAGUGCCACCCUGCAUGGGGGCACCGGGUGACAUGAUGCUCGAUUGAGCUUUCCCUCCAGGCUGGGUAAUCAGAGGCCAGGCCCUGUGUGUCUUCCAGGGGAUGCUGUCCUGAUCCAGGCUGGUGAGGCAAGGAGGGGCUGCGGCUUCCUGAGCUCUCCGAGCUGCUAAUGUGCGUGGGGAAUGCUAAGCAGCCUCCAGGCUCUGACCAGGUUUGUCUUCUAGGACCCACUUGCCCAAUGGGUGCCAGGACACCAGGUCUGGGUCUGGAGAAGAGAAUUCUUCUCCAAGGGAUGUUGAUGGUCCAUUCCGGAAAUGAAAGCUUCCCACGGUCUGCCCUGCACCAGGCUUUCAUCAGUGAGAAAUACCCCGAAUUUACACCCAAACCUAAAAGGAGAAGCGUAGAAGUGUUCUUGGCCCAAUUCUUUUAAUUGCAAGUCCUACUAGCAGGACAACUAAGGGAUUAUCCCUAAACUUUCAUUUAAAAGUCUGGGGAGGGAAGGAAGGAGUAAAAACUUUGGCAGUCAGAUUUUUCUCACUUUCACAUUUAUUCUUUACUAUUAAUGACUUGUUCAUCAUGCUGUACAACAAUUGUGCAAAGAUGCAUACGUUUGCCACUAUAAUUUGCCAUUAAAAUGUAAUAAUCAGUAAGUAUACACGGCGUGCCAGGUGCUAAACAGCAGAUGAGGGGCGAGGUGGGUGAAGGUUCCAUGCCGUGAGUUUGUGGCUAAUGGAACCCCUCAUGCUGCUGCUAUCCUUCCUGGGCCCAGCAGUUGGAUCCUGCAGGGGUGCCCCACUCUCUCGGGGACCUCAGAAAUGUCCUCUAUGGUUAGGGACGGCUAAGGAGGGUGUAUCUGCAGGAUUCCCAGGCACUGGGAGGUGUAUAGAGGUCACAGGACCCAUACAACCACCCCAGACCUUGUCAGAGUGCUCCAGUCUGGCAUCCGCAGAAGGCCAGGGAGGGUCAAGGGGCAGUGCUGAGCCACUGAACACAGCCACAGAGUUGGAGCUGCCAGGCAGAAGGUGCACGGCUCAGCAGAGGAGACCCCUUGAGGCAGCAAUGCUGGGGCCGGAGGGUCAAGGCUGAGGAGAAGGCCACCGCAAUGCCCUGUGUGGCCCUCAUGAGCUGAGGGACCAUGGGAAGGUGGCCUAGCCACUCUGAGCCUCAGUUUCCCCGGGAGAUAAAAACAGAGACAGUAUCUGCAAACUCAACAGGGCAUUAUGGUGAAGAAAUGAGAGGACUCAGGAACAUGUUAGCUGUCACAGCCUUAGCCACUGCCAACUCCAGCCAGGCAGCUGGUCAACAUUGCCGAGCACCAGCCAGGUGACAGGAGGACAGAGGGCUCGGGGGAAACCAAAUCCAUCCCCCCAAACAAAAGAAAAACACAAACAAAAAUAGGCACCAGAGCCGCCGGACGUGUACAAAGACUGUGUACGUUCUGCCUGUGGACAGAGCCCAGGAAGAGCACCCUGGCUCCUGUGCUCCACGCCUGCAGCUCAUCUGGAAGGUUCCCUGUCUAUGGCAGCCAGGUACCCAGGCCAGCCUGCAAAGGCCCAGUAACAGAACUUGUGUCUAAGAUAGAACUUCAUAGCUUUGUGCUGCCAAGCCCACCUGGAGCCCCCUUUAAGCCUUCUUUUGUUUGUUUGUUUGUUUGUUUUGAGACAGGAUCUCAUUCUGUUACUCAGGCUGGAGUGCUGUGGUGCCAGCAUAGCUCACUGCAGCCUCAAACUCCUGGGCACAAGCGAUCCUCCCACCUCAGCCUUCUGAGUAGCAGGGACUGCAGGUGCAUGCCACCCUGCAAAGCUAAUUUUAUUUAUUUUAUUUUUUGUAGAGACGCGGUCUCACUAUGUUGCUCAGGUUGGUCUCGAACUCCUGGGCUCAAGUGAUCCUCUGCCUUGGCCUCCCAAAGUGCCGGGAUUACAGGCAUGAGCCACUGCGCCCCAACCCGUUUAAGCCCUUCUGAGCUUUAAACCUCAUCUGCCUCCACUCUGCGCCCAGCAGUGGGGGAAGGUAGGGAGGGGAAGGUAGAAACAUGUAAAGGAGACAGGGUCAUCGGAGCCAGCUCUGGGUGUGAGCUCACCAUCUUCCACAAGGCCGUUCGUGGAUCCGGCCUGGCGAACUGACCACGGUUCUCCACAGAGUAGGGGCAGGUAAGGGGCUGGGAUGAGGCUCUGACCUCUGCAGCGUGAGGAUGCCAGGGAGGAGGGCAGGCGGGGGGGGCGCCCCUUCCUCUGGUUAUCUGUAGUCCUGGAUGCCUCGUGUAAGUGAGAACACAAUCGGUCCCAGGAGGACUGUCUCUAGAGGAGGCACCAGGGGCCCGGUGGAGGCAGGAGAGGCCGAGGGGAGGCAGGUAGGGAGCAGGCAGGGCUGAGCGGUGCUGCAGCAACAGGCAGGGUCAGGGAGACGCCAAGACUCCCAGUCCCACAACAAGGUACCACAGACCAUAUAGCUCAUAAACAAUAAUUUAUUUCUUGCAAUUCUUUUUCUUUUCUUUUUUUUUUUUUUUAUUGAGACAGAGUCUCAGUCUGCUGCCCAGGCUAGAGUGCAGUGGGGCGAUCUUGGCUCACUGCAACCUCCACCUCCCGGGCUCAAGCAAUUCUUCCACCUCAGCCUCCUGAGUAGCUGGGAUUCCAGGCGCACACCACCAUGGCCAGCUAAUUUUUGUAUUUUAUUUUAGAAGAGACAGGGUUUCACCAUGUUGGCCAGGCUGGUCUCAAAUUCCUGACCUCAAGUGAUCCGCCGGCCUUGGCCUCCCAAAAUGCUGGGAUUACAGGCGUGAGCCACCGCACCCAGCCAAUGUGAGCCAAUUAAACCUCUUUUCUUUAUAAAUGAUCCAGUCUCAGGUAGGUCUUUAUAGUAAUGUGAGAACAGACUAAUACACUAAGAGUCCCUUUGUAACCUUGGAACCCACCUCUGGUUCUACAACCUGCCCUACAGGAAGCUCACUACAGCAGGCAUGUUUCCCCUUUGCUUCACACACCACAAUGGCAGCUUAUCACAGUAGGUGCUCAGCAGUGUGGCUAGGGGCCAGUUGCUGGCUGUGCGCUCUGCUUUAUACACACCACUGCUAUUCCUUACAGCAGCCCUGAAAGAGAGGUGCUAUGAUUCCGAACCAGGCUCAGAGAGGUCCAGCUACUUACCCAAGGUCACACAGCUAGUAGGGGGCAGCCAAGAUCCAACCCCAGCCAGCCCUCCUCCAAAGCCUGGGCCCUUUCCACCACAUCUUACUGGCUCUGCAGAGUGGCAGGAAGAGACAGGUAAAUGCAUCUCAGCGGGGCAGGCUCGGGCUCCACGUCAGGAAAACUGCAGUCAGCCACGCUGGGCCACCCGCCCUCUGCAGAGCACACGCAACAGCGCAGUCAUUAAAGCUGAACUGAGCCCUCUCAGGACCAGUGGGAACAUCUCUGAACACUGAAGUUCUGCAUCUGAAAGAGAAACCUAGGAAUGCCUUGCUGCUUCUCUGGGUGUAGAGACGGCCCCCAAAGAGCAGGGCCCUGGGGCUGCGCUCUCAGUCCCUCCGGGAAUGUGGGGAUGAGCUGAAAAGCGGGAAUUCUGGAGGAACCGGAGACCACCAUGGUGGGCUGACUGGGACAGGACUGUGGGCAGGGUGUGAAUCCGCCCACGGAAGUUACUCCAGGGGAGACCUCCCUUUCAAACCAGCAGUGCCACCUGGCCCAGAGUGGCUGGGAGGAUGAAAUGUGGUCAUCUGGGUGAAAGCACUAAGAGAAAAGAGAGUGUUCUGGUUGUUUUUGAUAUAAAAGGAUUUGGCAUCAAGAUCGUCAAAUGACAUCAGUCAGCCUCACCUCAGGGAACAUGUCCACCGAGGUCUCAUUGGAAAUGCAGGGAACAGGGUGGCUCAUGGGCUAGUCUGGGUUGUCACAGACUAUGACAAGGAGUAGAUACUUCAGCACACUAGCCCACCUCCCUUCUCCUCCUACCCACCCCCUCUGACUCCAGGAGAGCCCUCUAAAGUGCUGUGUUCAGUUACAUGCCUUAUAUAUGCUGAACACACACACACUCACACAUGCUCACAGACACAAUGCACACACACGCUCACACGCCACACACAUGCACCACACACACAACACACAUGCUCACACACACCACACACAGACACAUCACACACACAUGCUCACACACCACACACAUAUCACAACACACCACACAUGCUCAAACAUACACACUCACACAUGCUUACACACCACACACACAUCACAUGCCCACACACAUGCUCAUGCACACACCAUACACAACUCACACACCACACACACCUCACGUCACACAUACACACCACAUACUUCACACACACACUACACACACAGACUCACACACGCUCACACAGCACACACCCCCACACCACACACAUACACACUCAUGCUUACACACCACACACACUCACCCCCAUCCCCCCACACUUUGCGCGCACACACACGCACUCCAGUCUCUAACAUGACAGGGUUAGGCCAGAUCAGAGCUUUUGUGACCAGGGACAUUCGUCAUGCCUGCCAGCAUCACUUGAGGAGCCUUUUAAAAGAACCCUUCUUCCGGAUAUUUUCAUCCUUUCCAAGUGUGCUGAUGCCUGAGCGUAUACAUGCAUUUAAUCUUUUUUAAAAAGCAAUUGGCUGGGCAGGGUGACUCACGUUUUAAUCUCAGCCCUUUGGGAGGCUGAGGCAGGAGGAUUGCUUGAGUCCAGGAGCUUGAGACCAGCCUGGGCAACAUAGAAAAACUCCAUCUUGAUUAAAAAAAAUAGCUGGGCACGGUGGUAUGCGUGCCUAUAGUCCCAGCUACUCAGGAGGCUGAGGUGGGAGGAUUGCUUGAGCCUGGGAGGUUCAGGCUGCAGUGAACCAUGAUUGUACCACUGCACUCCUGCCUGGGCAACAGAGAGAGACCCUGUCUCAAAAAAAAAAAAAAAGGUAAAAAGUAACAUUUAAGCAUGGUAAUACAAAAUUAAUAGUAGAGAAAUGGAAAUGACAUCUCCCUUCACCCAGUUUCUCCCCACCAGAGGCCACCACUGAAACUGCAUUCUCAUUCUUCCUUCCAGAGUUAGGCUAUGUCUGUGUGGACUCUGUUGCAUGCGCUGGCCUUCCUUGCACGCAGAGGACAGUACACAGUACCUGCCUUGUUCCUCACUGCUUUUCUCACUGACCCACAGGAUCUGAGGGGCACCCGCAGCAGUGCAGACGGACCGCUCCAUUCCGUCAGAGGCCACACUUAUUUCACCAGUUCCAUCCUGAUGUUUUCCAGACUUCUACAUAACAGAUGAUUCACCAGUGUGUCCCCCCAUGGAUGCCUCUGCUCACAUAGAAAGGGUUAAUUCUUGGAAGCUGAGGUGCUGUCAAAGGGCAUCUGACAGAUCAGCCGCCCUCUGCUCCAGGGGUGUGGUCUUCCUCUCCGACCCAUGAUGCGUGGCAGCCUGGCUGCCCACACCCUCAGAUCCCUGAGCAGCAGUGUCUCGCUGUGGUUUUAUCAGCAGUCUUUUUAAAUUAAUUUUUUUUUUUCUGUCACUUGCCUGGAUGGAAUCAGCAGUCUUUUUAUUAUGAGGGAGAUCAAGCACCUUUUCAUGUUAAAUCCCUCCUCCUUUUUUUAUCCUUUUCCUGUGAGCUACCUGUUUUUCUCUUUUAUCAGGCCUGGAUAUUUUGGGGCAAUGCUGGGCUGUCCUAGUACUCCCUGCCUGUUCCAGUUGAUCCAGGCUCCUUAAAGCUCCAACAGUGUGGAUUCUGUGAGCAUCAUGAAAGCCCAAGGGUGGUGGUCUCUCCAGGUGUCAGAGAGCCAAUGGUGAGUGAGAGAACCCCCCGGCCAGGGCAGCAGAGAAGCCUCAUGCCCACCAGUGCCAAUAGCCUGGCAUGGGAGCAGCCCUCUUUGUACAGGAAAAUGGGCCACAUUUGUCUUUAACAUUUGCUUCUUGUCCAAAGCAUUUUAGAGUGUGAUGGACAUGAAAUGAUGGAGACAGUGUGUAUCUACUUCCCUUGAAAGCUCCUCCAGCGAAUCCAGAGCCAGCAUCUUCCUGUAGCAUCUGCCCCUCCCUCCCUUUCAGGCCUGUGGUAACAUCUCCUCCUGCAGAACCUGGGCCCUGCUAUCCUGCUAUCAAAGGGUGGAGAGCCUGAUGGUCUGUGAAAUUCCCAGGGAAGGUUCAGGUAUCAGAAAUGCACUGAAGAACCACCUGAGCUCACUCUGUUAAUGGCGAUAUUUCACGUGAUUUAUCUGGAAGGGUUGGUAACUGAUAUGGUAACAAAUCUCAUCUUGAAUUCCCACAUGUUGUGGGAGGGAUCUGGUGGGAAGUAACUGAAUCAUGGGGGCAGGUCUUUUCUGUGCUGUUCUCUUGAUAGUGAAUAAGUCUAACGAGAUCUGAUGGUUUUAAAAAGAGGAGUUCCCCUGCACAAGCUCUCUCUCCCUGUCUGUCUGCUGCCAUCCAUGUAAGAUGUGGCUUGCUCCUCCUUGCCUUCUGCCAUGAUUGUGAGGCUUCCCCAGCCACUUGGAACUGUAAGUCCAAUUAAACCUCUUUCUUUUGUAAAUUCCCCAGUCUCGGGUAUGUCUUUAUCAGCAGCGUGAAAACGGACUAAUACAGAAACUUAGCCUGGAGGUCCUGAUUAACAGCUAACGCCUCCACCCUUACACAUAGCUUCUGUUUUGUAAUCCCUGGAAAUGUGGGUGCAUAUGAGGCUCCCUCUGCCUCCUCCCACAGCCAUAUGAGCUGCCGCCUCCUAGGAGAACCUGGCAGGGCUGGCAGCACCCCCAGCUCCCCAGUUCAGCCCAGAAGGGGGCUGCCUGGACUCCAAGAUUUCUCCCUUCACCCGCGGCUGCCUCCUGCCCCCAUGACUACAGUGUGAUGCUGUCUGGGAAGCUGAAUGUCAUCUUCCCUGGGCUUACCUGCCAGGCUCCUCUCAUCCACAUCUUCCAGCCUCUAGCCACAUGGACCCCUCCGGAAAGCAUGUGUGUGUGGGGGGUAUGUGUGAACAUUUUUCAUGCUUGAUGUGAGCCGGAAGAAAAAUGAGCUUCUCUAUUUGAUAAGUGUGGACCUGCCCACAGCACUAAAUUUGGUUCUGCCGUCACCGGCGCCAUGAAGCAGCAGCCUGGUUUAGAGGCUUGCCUUUGGUUUCAAAUAAUUUCUCCAGGCUCAUGUUACAUAUGACCCAUUCACAGAGGCUGGAGGGCAUGGCUUCUCCAGUCCUUAGCACUAAAGACGUGUCUUUUGGCUCCUGCACGACUAGCACAGGCAGUAGAACCAGAUGGGGGAUGCUCUGAGGUUGCAGAGGCAGGAAGGCAAGCGGGAGAGAGCUUGGGCCUGGACAGAGGGAUGAGCUGGCUCCCUCCCCAGCUGUGAAAUCUCUGAGUCUCAGUUUGCUUCUCUGCAAAAUGAGGAUAAUAAUCCCCACCUCGGGACUGAGGAUUAACGAGGCAAUGGUUUUAGCAGAAUAAUCCACUGCUGCUAUUAUUAUCAGCAUCUUCGUAUAGCAAAACUCAUUUGGACCAAUGGGGAGUGCGUUAAGUUGGUCUGAAGUAGGGCAAAGGAACGAUUAUAGAAUGUUUCAAAGGAAAUGUGUUUUUUAUUAUUUCCAUGUAUAUAGAGUACUGGAACUGAGUGCUAGGAGGUGGAGAACUGACUUGAUUUAAAUAAGGAGAGCUCAUUUGACAUUGGCCUGUUUGAUUUCUCAACAUCCAACUGUGUUAAUAAAGAGGGUUUUGAGCUAUCUAUGUGCCCAGCUCUGUGACUGGAGAAGGAAAGUCACAUAAGACACAGUCCUUGCCCUCACAGGACGUGCAACCUGUGGGCAGAUGAGUCCUACACAGGAAGCGGGGGCAAGAAGGAAACUGUGAGGCACUGGGGAGCACGGCGCUGCCACAGGUGAGAGGAAACGCGUAGCCUCUGGACCUUGAGUGCCAAGGCUGGGGAAAGCUUCGGGGAAGAUGGACACUGAGGAAGGUCAGGUCAAUUUAAAUAGGGGGUGGGGCAGGGAGAGAGGGGCAAGGCUGCCAUGGGUGAGCAAGGGGCAGAAAGAGCACGGCAUCUAUGAAGGAGCCACAGGGCAGGCUGGCAGGAGGCGGGACUGGGCAGGGAGGUGAGCCAAGGUGUGGGGACCCGGGCAGGCAGCUCGAGGCCAGCUUGGCUUAGCAGGCGAUGCCCAUGGCAGGACCACACUUGGAGAGGGCCAGGGCAGGUGACGGGGUUGCUCUGGGAGGAAUUUGGCAAUGGCAUGCAAAACGGAUUGGAUAUGAAUUUUGGAAUUGAAACAGGGAACAACUCAUUAUUGUUUCCAUAAGGAUCCGAGGGUGAGAUGAUAAGGUCUAAAAUCAUUUUAUCGCUGGUGAGAGUGUGACUGGAAACAGAGGGGCAAACUGAGGCAAUGCCUGGAAGAAACUGGCGGGUCUGUUCCAGGAUGUGGAGGGAGAAGAGCUUAAGGCUCCAUGGCUUGCCACAUUCGGGACUGGAAGAUGGCAAAUUCCAGUGACCGAAGUGCACAGACCAGGUGGUAAUGGGGGCAGCAUUUUACUAAAACGCAAGGCUAUGGGGCCACUGGACACCCAGGACUGGCACUCAAACCUGGCCACGCUGGAGAAGAGAUGGGCCAUUGUCAGGGUGGGGGUUAUGCAUACACCCUGAAAUACCUCCCACCAUCCACGCUCCGGAGAAACCCUCCAUUUACAGGGUGAAGGCAAACUGACUUUAGCCCCGCUCUGGCUCAAUUCAAAUGCCAGGUGCAAGCAGUUCAAUUAACGCGCCUGCCCCGUGCCUUUGACACCAAACAGAUGUCAGAAUAUUACACCAUCCAAGUCAAUGCCUGGCUUUAAUUUAAUCACUCAUGCCUUAAUCGAUUCCUGUCACAUGCUAAACACUGUGAGUGGUGGGGAGAGGCUGCUCCUAGGCAUAAUUAGAAUAUGAGAUUCUGUACCAAGUCCCUGUCUGGUUAGGAAAAAACUGAAAACUCCAGAAAAAACAGAAAAGCUCCCAGGAAAUUCCAUCCAAGGGUCGUGACUUGAGCCCAGAAGGAAGUCCCAGCCCUUCCCCAGAGAAGUCAGCACUGGCAGGGGCUGGAAAUCACUUGAGGUCAUGCUCAAGGCACCCCCACCCACUGUCUUGCACCCUGGUUUGGGGCUCCUUCCUUCCAAAGAAGGGGACAGACAAGAUCAGUGCAGGCUGGGCUGUGGCCACCCAUGCAUCCCUCCUGGGCACGGACCCUGCUGGCUCAGCCCUCACCCCUAGGAACCAGCUGCACCGUCUGACUGACGCUAAGGGAGCCAGGUGGCAGCAGCUAUACUAUUUCAGGUCAGGCUAAAGUCAGCCCACCAAAGACUUCAGAUCAGCACCUGACUGCGGCUCCUGGGAGGCAUCCCCCAGCCCUGCAGCACUUCUGAGAAGCUCAAAGGAAUUCUCUUAAGUUGUUUUAUUUCAGUUCUAUGACUAUGCGAACAGAAGAGAGACCACAUUAUCAUCCAUUCUGAGGGGGAAGACAGUAUAAUCUCCAUUUCUCAGAUGGAAAUAUGGAGGCAUGGGAAAUCUUAAUCUUGGCCAAAAAUCUCUUAGUUGACAAAUGAAUUCAGGGCUUGGCAACCCUAAGCAGCCAGUGAUAACAGGGGCCCACAAAUGAGGGAGUAGCUUGCUUCUGGAAUUCAGUCUUACUGGUAACAAACGAUAAGAUCUUUUUAAAAGUCUUUUUAUUUUUAUUUUUUUUAACUUGGCCCAGAUUGUCAACUUAUGAAUCCUACUGAUUAAAAAUUUUUUCUUGCAUUUCUCAUCAGCCAUCGAACAUUGGUUCAUGAUUAUUUAUAGCACUUAAUGACAUUGAAAGGGAUUUAUUUCAAUUUAUUCAGUCUUUAUUAACACUCCACAGGGAACAGAGUGCAGCCGCCACUGGCCUUUUCUCAGGCACAGUUGAGAUGCUAAGAAGGGAGGAACUUCACCACUAAAGGAAGAACUGAACCCGGUGGAGAGAAGCCCAGGAGGCAAGUUAUCCCUAUAGGAUUAUCCAGGAAAAAUAUUAAAUAGGUUUUAAUAAGGUUCAGGUGAGUUUAUGAAUGAUCACUUCAUUAUUCAAGCGGAUUUAGGGAUGUUCUGCAAAAUCCUCCGUUUCUAAGCUGGCCUCAUGGGGACCAGCAGCAGAGGCAGAGGCUGAGCCGCUGCACUGGGGAUUGGGGCCAGCGUGGAAUUUCCCCUGCUCAUAGGGAAAAGACAAGACAGAAAACGGAUGGUGGGAGGGCUGAUGACUCUUCCAAAUGGCUAUUCCUGAUGUUUCCUGGCAAUGAGCAGCUAUGAAAGGGACAGGUUCACAUGCGACUACACCAUGACUUUUGCUGUGCCCCAGUGUAACAGGAGGUUAUAGACAACAGUUUUAUUUGCAUAUAUAACCUUUGCUUGGCUUAUUAACAUAUUGCUGAUUUAAAUUCUGAUACAUUGUCAAAGUAGAAAGCUGUUCGGGUUUUUGGCAAGCCCAGUAUAAAAAAUGCAGGCAUGCAACAAAUAGGUAGUGAAUAUUCACAUUUAAAUACAUGUAAAUAUAAAUAGAAUUAAAAAAAAAAAGUUUAGAGACAGGGCCUUGCUGUGUUACCCAGGCUGGAGUGCUAUGGGACAAUCAUAGCUCACUGUAGCCUUGAACUCCUGGGCUCAAGCGAUCCUCCUGCUUCGGCCUCCCAAGUAGCUAGGGCUACAGACACAUGCCAUCAUGCCCAGCUAAUUUUUACAGUUUCCUUUUGUAGAGACAGGAUCUUGUUUUGUUGCCCAGGCUAGUCUCAGACUCCUGGCUUCAAGUGAUCCUCCCACAGUGCUGGGAUUACAAGUGUGAGCCACCGAGCCUGGCCU
This 12127-nucleotide long non-coding RNA is filed under the name Homo sapiens (human). RNAcentral describes it as "HSALNT0390174". The record is from RNAcentral. Lineage: Eukaryota; Metazoa; Chordata; Mammalia; Primates; Hominidae.